Molecule: long non-coding RNA, 3346 nt
Organism: Ictalurus punctatus (channel catfish)
Lineage: Eukaryota; Metazoa; Chordata; Actinopteri; Siluriformes; Ictaluridae
Source: Ensembl
CCUUCACAAUCACCAGAUCUCAACCCAGCUGAAAACUUAUGGAACAGUUUGGACUGAUGGGUUUGAACAAUUUAGGGAGCAUUUUUUGGAACGAUGAUGUUCAUCUUUCAAGGACACUUCCAGAGACAUGUAGAUUGUAUGCCAAGCUGCACUGAAGCUGUUCUGGCAGAUCAUCCUGGCCCAACACCUUACUAACUCACUUUGUUGUUUUCUUUUUUCCCUUAAUUCGUCACUUGUCUAUAUAAUGAAAAAUAAGUUUGCUUGAUGGGGUUUGGAAAAAAAAAUUAAAUAAAAAAAUAGAAUGAGACCUCAUUAUAGAGAUGCAUGAUUUCCUCUAUGAAGAUGUCAGAGGAAGAAAGGGAAAGAGUUAGUACUGACAGUAUGACUUAGAGCCUAGAAGAACAAAACAAAGGGAUGUGACAAAUGAUUCAAAUCUGAUUUCACAUAGCACACCAGAGGUUUGGUUAGCCCUUACAUUUCAUACAUUACAAAACAUUUCAUUAGCAUAUCAUUGCCCACUAGGGAACUGGUAUUUAUCAGGUUCAACAGUAAACUGAGGACUUGUAUAACAAUGAGUAAAAAUGGAUGAAGACCAGGGCUGCAACAACUCCAUCCAUCCAUCCAUCCAUCUUCUAUACCACUUAAUCCUUUUCAGGGUCACAAGGAACCUGGAGCCUAUCCCAGGGAGCAUCGGGCACAAAGCGGGGUACACCCUGGACAGGGUGCCAAUUCAUCGCAGGCACAUACACACACCCAUUCAUACACUACGGACACUUUGAACAUGCCAAUCAGCCUACCAUGUAUGUCUUUGGACUGGGGGAGGAAACCGGAGCACCCGGAGGAAACCCCCACAGCACGGGGAGAACAUGUAAACUCCGCACACACAGAGCAGCGUUGGGAAACGAACCCCCGACCCUGGCGGUGUGAGGCAAACAUGCUAACCACUAAGCCACCAUGCUCCCGAGCUGCAACAACUAAUUAAUAAAAUCGAUAAUAAUCGAUUAUGAAAAUCGUCGUCAAUGAAUCUCAUUAUCGAUUAGUUGGUCUGCACACUGCACGAGGUACAUUUACUCACUAGGUUACCUCUUUUCCGAACACACACUUCAGAGAGUAAAUACUACAGUUGUGUCCCAAAUGACGUACACUUACAUUAUGCACUGUGUACUCUACCGUCUAGUGUACGAAUUUUAGGAAGUAUCACUAGCGGGGUUUUUUUUUACUAACCGGAAGCAUAAGCCGCUUCCUAGUCGACGGCGCACGAUAUCAUAUGCACGCUAGCUUCAGCAGACACCCAGACUCACCGACAGUCCCUUUCUUCAGUUUACUGUUUAUGUCCCAAAUGCUGUGUGUGUGUAAGGGGCAGGGGAAACUGGUGCGAGUUGCUUAAAAGGUUUAGUUUGUCAUUAUAUUCUGUAUUUGCGCGUUUGCAGUGUAAAUUCUGUCGUUUAUUAUAAUGGAAGUGAUGUGUUAGUAACGAGGCCGUGUUGCUGAUCACAUGCAGUGUAGACACCAUGAUACAGAGUGUAGUGAGUAAGAUCUGUAAUGUCUGAUAAAAACAUUAUGAUCAAAAGUAAACAAGUAAAGUUCUGUGCUUUUUCUGCAUUCAUAAAAAUAAAGCAUAAAUACUAGAAAAGAAUAUAUUUUUUAUAUAUAUAUUUUUUUUCCUUUUAGUUUAGAAGUAUUUAUGCAUUAUUUUUUAUGGAUGCACAAAAAGAACAGAAUUAAACCACAGUCCUAAAUUAAAAUAUAUAUUCUGGUGUGCGUGUGUGUGCAUUGGGUUCUUUUCUGUUUCGGACAAACAGUUGUUUUAGUCUGAAGUUUAUAUUUGUAACACUCUGUGGAUUUUAUUAUAAAUAAAUAAAUAAAUAAAGGGUACUGAAAGUUUGCCCCGGCCCAUCCGAUUAAUCGGGAAGAUUUUUUUUAAAAAAUCAGCCAACUAAUCGAUUAUGAAAACAACCAUUAGUUGCAGCCCUAAUAAAGACAAAUAGAAUUUUUUUAUUUUUUUUUUUUGAAAGACUGAAUUCAUUUUCUAAAAAUAAGAUGAGAGAGAGACAGAGGGGGGAGGGAGAGAAACAGGUUUUAGCUUGGUACACAAAGUUUCUAGAGAAACAGGACGCUUGAGACAAAAGCUUUUCAUCAGUUGUGCAAGCAAAGUGCUUCUGAAGCUGCAUUGUAAAUAUGACAACUACCCUGAUUACCACUAACGGAGAGGGGGAGGGUUAAAAAAAAAAAAAAAAAAAAAAAAAAAAAAUGAACCCAUUUGAGUUGUCUACUUCAACACCUGAUGGAAUACCAUAUUGGAAUACCAUAUUGUCUAAGGCUGUAUUUACACUUGCUUUUUAAUACAAGAUGGCUGCCGAUGGUCGUUUGGAUUGUCUCUUGUGUAUGUCCUCAGAUAUUAACUCUUCUUCAUGAUGCAAUGUCAAUGCAAAUAUGCAGUAUUGCACCACAUGACACUGUGUGCCACUGACUAAACAAACUAUUGUUGUGUCUCAAAUCACACUCUUAUGUACUGUUCUAGACUCUUAUUCACUACUGGGUUUCUUAUGUUUAGUGUUUGAGUUUUAAAAAUCAUGUAGCCUUCAAAUUGACUGAAAGGUCCGUUUUGCAUACCAGUCUUCUGGAUUUUAUAGAUUAAUAAACACUUUUGAAUGUAAGGCCAGAGUUUUUGAUUUGAGAUGUAGUUCAUGACAACAAUCCUGAUGAUGAUGGAAACAGAGGACAACAGUGCCUUUAACAUCACUGUGCAUGAAAUCAUUUAGUCAUUUUAGUUUGACUUGGAAUCCACACAGACAUGGAUGUCUUGGCUCUGACGUGCCAUCCAGUGGACAUUGCUUUUAAUCCUCCAGACGUACAAAAUAAGCAAGUGAGCAUGUACAAUCAUUGAAGAGUAACCACUGACCACGUUCCUACACAGCAACUGGCAAAAAUACAGCUGCUGUACACAUUGGACCAUACUGCUCUUCUUCUUUCUGAAAGCAGAUGUGACUGACAAACAUCCUACACCACAGCUGCUUGGGGUCAGCAUUGCUAUUUAUGAACCAAAACAAAAACACUGUCUGCAGCUUUCAUUAUUUCAGUUCAUCUCUCAACUGCACAAAAAUGGCUGAUCAGAACUGUGCAGUCAAUAAUCGACAGGCGAUUCUGACGAGUCCUCAUACUCCAAAUGUUUGGGACAAAAACACAACUUUGGGUUUGAUGCAAAAGCAGAUCAUCUUUAAGUCUGUUGUGGCCACUGGUUUCAAAGAACUCAAGUAUUUCCAAAACAGCACCAAAUGGCAACCGUUUACAAACACUAAAUUUGAGAUUGUGCAUUAGUGGCCUGAUUUAGUUCGAAACAUUUUUG